AGCGAACGCUGGCGGCAGGCUUAACACAUGCAAGUCGAGCGGGCACUUUCGGGUGUCAGCGGCGGACGGGUGAGUAACGCGUGGGAACGUGCCCUCUGGUUCGGAAUAACUCAGGGAAACUUGAGCUAAUACCGGAUACGCCCUUUUGGGGAAAGGCUUGCUGCCGGAGGAUCGGCCCGCGUCUGAUUAGCUAGUUGGUGAGGUAACGGCUCACCAAGGCGACGAUCAGUAGCAGGUCUGAGAGGAUGAUCAGCCACACUGGGACUGAGACACGGCCCAGACUCCUACGGGAGGCAGCAGUGGGGAAUAUUGGACAAUGGGCGCAAGCCUGAUCCAGCCAUGCCGCGUGAGUGAUGAAGGCCUUAGGGUUGUAAAGCUCUUUUAUCCGGGACGAUAAUGACGGUACCGGAGGAAUAAGUCCCGGCUAACUUCGUG
Molecule: ribosomal RNA, 435 nt
Filed under: uncultured bacterium
Lineage: Bacteria
Description: partial 16S ribosomal RNA
Rfam family: Bacterial small subunit ribosomal RNA
Source: RNAcentral